RNAcentral lists this transfer RNA (85 nucleotides) under Candidatus Omnitrophota bacterium. Its description in RNAcentral is "Candidatus Omnitrophica bacterium tRNA-Thr". Lineage: Bacteria; Pseudomonadati; Candidatus Omnitrophota. The record is from RNAcentral.
GCCUCUGUAGCAUAGUAGCUAUUGCGGCAGACUUGUAUUCAAACAAGCCAUCUGCAGGUCGCCGGUGCAACUCCGGCCAGAGGCU